AAAUUCUUGUGCCCACACACAAAGAAAAAUCCUUACAGUUUCUUUUAGUUCUUGAAGAACACUGGAAUAUGCCAAAAGGUUUGAAAAAGAAUCAAGAAAAUCAAACAAGGAAGCUUGAAGAUGAAAUCAAGGAGAUCAAAGAUAAAAGGAUUUUUUUUGUAAAGCACGCUACAAUGGUAAUUCCUAAAACACAUUGUGUUAUUUAUUUUUCAAAUUAUUUCAUUCUUGUUGAUUCACAAUUUAAUAAAAUCCUUUGUAUUUUUCCAACAAUUGGUAUUAGAGUCUAGGUGUUGAUAUUAUUUUGUGUAUCAAGAAUUAAAUAAUUUUGGAUUAUGCAUGUGUUAGUAAAGGGCGGUGCUACGAUUAUGUGAUUUAUUUUGCUAUUGGAUGAAUGAUAUUUUUUUAUUGAAUGAGUUUAUGGCCUUAGAAUUUUGUGGUGAAAUCAUGUAUGGCUUGAAUUGAGUCAUAUAACAAAAGGGGUGGAUUAUGACUCCAUGUUUUCCCUUAUGAUUUUAAUUUUUGCAAUAGAGUUAGGGUUUGUAUAUUGCUAGUGUUAUUGCUGUAAUUAUGUAUCAGAGGAUUUGUUCUGCAAUUAUGAAUCGGGGGACUUAAACUGCAAUUUGGACUCAAAGAAUUAAGCUGCAAAUUCAAAUCCAAGGACCAAACUUCAUCUUCUCCAACGAAUUGAAGGACCUGCACCGUAAAAUCAGCAAAAAUAAAAAUAAAAAUAAAAACCAAAAUCAAAAUCAAAAUCAAAAUAGGGAAGACGAAGGGGGCGUCUACCUGGAGACGGUGGGCAGCACCUGCUGCCAUGGAGACCCGUGUAGAGCAGCGGCGCCCUCCUGUGCUGCUGUUUCGCGUGAAAGGCGACAGCUCCGAGAUUUGCCACCGCAUCUCGUGUAAGGACAGUGGCGUUUUCGGUCGUUUCUGCUUCACCUGUAUGGGUCGAAAGUGGCAGUGGUCCCGGGGUGGCGCGUCGGCGUCGGCGUUGAUGGUUGAUUGUUAUUUAUUCCGGUGACUCGGAAAUGGUGGCAGAUAGCCACCCAAAAACGAUUUUUCAAAAUGGUCGAUGAUUACUAUUUUAAAAAAAAUUAAAUUGAAAAAUCAGUAAAAACCUUUAAAAUAAUAAAAAUUUAAUAUUAUAUCUAACAAAUCACUCUCAAAUCGAUAUCUGAAAAAGAAGGGAAAGAAAUCUUGUUGGAAAUAAUGAUAGAAAUCUUUGUAAAUUAUAUAAAAUUACUGGAAAUGAUAUUUUUUGAAGUGUUUUUUGGCCGAAAUGACUAUCUUAGGCACUGGACCGUAGAAGAAUAUGAGGAGAAGGCGGCCAGACGACCCAGACCGUUUGCAAAACAAACUGCUGGGUCGUCUGUGUUUGCAAACAGACGGGUGGGCCGUCUGGAAAAGACGGCCAAGAAGCAGCAGUUGGGCCAAACGACUUCCCUCAUUUAUUUAUUUUUCGUUGUAUUCCAUAAAUAAUUUAAAUAGACAAAAAUAAAUAAUGAACAUUUAAAUAUUAAAUAAAUGAUUAUUGAAAUGAUAAAUAAAAAAUGUAAAUAAUUAAUAAAUAUUAAUAAUCAAAAUAUGUAAUUAAAAUUUAUUUGAAAUAAAUUUCUAACAUUAAAAAUAAAUAAUCAAAUAUUUACGUUUACUUGCUCAAUAAAUAAUUUAAAUAAUAAAUCAAUAUAAAUAAUUAAAUUAAUAAUUUAAAUGAACAAUUGAAACAAAUAAAUGAAAAACAAUUGGAAUAAAUAAUUAAUUUAAAUGCACAAAAAUAAAUAAUGAACAUUUAAAUAAUAAUUAAAAGAUUAUUUAAACGAUAAAUGAAAAAUUCAAAUAAUGAAUAAAUGUUAAUAAUCAAAAUAUGUAAUUAAAAUUUAAUUGAAAUAAAUUUCUAACAUUAAAAAUAAAUAAUCAAAUAUUUACGUUUACUUGCUCAAUAAAUAAUUUAAAUAAUAAAUCAAUAUAAAUAAUUAAAUUAAUAAUUUAAAUGAACAAUUGAAACAAAUAAAUGAAAAACAAUUGGAAUAAAUAAUUAAUUUAAAUGCACAAAAAUAAAUAAUGAACAUUUAAAUAAUAAUUAAAUGAUUAUUUAAACGAUAAAUGAAAAAUUCAAAUAAUGAAUAAAUGUUAAUAAUCAAAAUAUGCAAUUAAAAUUUAAUUGAAAUAAAUUUCUAACAUUUAAAAUAAAUAAUUAAAUAUUUACAUUUACUUGUUCAAUAAAUAAUUUAAAUAAUCAAUCAAUAUAAAUAAUUAAAUAUUUACAUUUACUUGUUCAAUAAAUAAUUUAAAUAAUCAAUCAAUAUAAAUAAUUAAAUAAAAUAAUUUAAAUGGACAAUUGAAACGAAUAAAUGAAAAAUAAUUGGAAUAAAUAAAUAAUUUAAAUGGACAAAAAUAAUAAUGAACAUUUAAAUAAUAAUUAAAUGAUUAUUUAAAUGAUAAAUGAAAAAUGUAAAUAAUGAAUAAAUGUUAAUAAUCAAAAUAUGUAAUUAAAAUUUAAUUGAAAUAAAUUUCUAACAUUGGAAAUAAAAAUUAAAUAUUUACAUUUACUUGUUCAAUAAAUGAUUUAAAUAAUCAAUCAAUAUAAAUAAUUAAAUCAAAUAAUUUAAAUGAACAAUUGAAACAAAUAAAUGAAAAAUAAUUAAUUGAAAUGCACAAAAUAAAUAAUAAACAUUUAAAUAAUAAUUAAAUGAUUAUUUAAAUGAUAAAUAAAAAAUGCAAAUAAUGAAUAAAUGUUAAUAAUCAAAAUAUGUAAUUAAAAUUUAAUUGAAUAAAUUUCUAGCAUUUAAAAUAAAAUUAAAUAUUUACGUUUACUUGUUCAAUAAAUAAUUUAAAUAAACACUUGAAAUAAAUAAAUGAAAAAUAAUUGGAAUAAAUAAUUAAUUGAGAUGGACAAAAAUAAAUAAUUAACAUUUAAAUAAUAAUUAAAUGAUUAUUUAAAUGAUAAGUAAAAAAUGUAAAUAAUGAAUAAAUGUUAAUAAUAAAAAUAUGUAAUUAAAAUUUAAUUGAAAUAAAUAUUCAAAAUAAUUUAUUUAAAUAAGUAAUUAAAUAUAAAUAAUCAAAAUUAAUUAAAUAAAGAAUUGAAAUAAAUAAUAAAGAAUAAAAUAAACUAUGAAAUACAUAAGUAUACAAAAAUUAGUUUUUUGCAUUUUAUAAUUUGUUGUCUAAUUUUGUAAUUCAUUUUAUUUAUUAUCUGUUAUUUCGUGCGUAUAUUACUUGUAGUUCGGUUAGUUGAAUUUUGUAACAUUAUAUUUCAAAUGUUAUAAUAUUUAAAAUUUUGCAUAAUGGAUUACUAUUUGGACGCUACCUUGAAACAAAUUCCUGAAAAAGUUUCGCGUAACUUUACUAGCUUCACAGCAGUGUUGGAUUCAACCGUUUGGAUUGGCUUAACGUGCCGACCAUUUUUUUAUUUUUUUUAAUAUUGAAUUUAAUUGUUUAAAAAUAUUUCAUGAAAUGAAUAUAAUAAACAAUUGAAUAUUCAAUAAAAAAUUAAAAUAAAUGAGAAACUAAUAUAAAUAAUUAAAUGUAGUAAAUAAAUAUGAAAUAAACUAUUAAAAUAAGUAAUUAAAUAGAGUAAUUAAAUAUUAAACAAACAAUAUACAUAACCAAUUAAAAUAAUUAAUGAGAUAUUUAAAUAAAAAUUAAAUUAAAUAUUUAAUAAGUAAUUUAAUAAAUUAAUAUUUAAUUUAAUUAUCUAUUUAAAUAUUUAAGUAAUUACUUUAAUUGUUUAUGUAUAUUAUUUGUUUAAUAUAUAAUUAUUCAUUUUAUAUUUUAUUUGUUUAUUUAAAUAUUUCAUGAAUUAUGUUAAUUAUUUAUGUAUAUUGUUUAUUUAAAUGAGUAAUAAAUAAAUAGCUGAAAUAAAUUAAAUAAAUAUUAAUAAAACAAUUGAAAUAAUUAAUUGAAAUAAUAAAUAAAUAAUUAAAAUAAAUUCAAUAAACAAGUAAUUUAAAUGUUAAUUAAGCAAUAAAAAUAACUUUGCCAGCGUCGCAUUAAUUUUAUAUUUGUUGGAUGAGGAGCACGAAGACCUGUUACACCGAUUCUGCUUAUGACAGUAACUCUGACACAGUUAGGAGAUGCAUUUAAGGAAUGCAAAUAUUUAUUUGACAAGUUGAAGUUGGGGAUGAUAUUUAUACUAGAGAGCAUAAUGAGGUAUCAUCAUAAGAAGACGUCGAUCGACGUCUUUCGUUUGGAGGUUGUUGAUAACAUUGACACAUUCAACAACUAUCCAUGGGGACAAAGCUGACAGUUAUCAGCUCUUCUCAACGAUCUUGAGAUACAAAUUAUUCGUUUGUAAUUUAUGUUGUACGUCAUUUCGAAAUCUCGAUGCAUGGUCAUUAACUCAGUGAAAUGUUAAUAUGUCAGCUUGAAUUGCUCACCGAGCUGACACCGUUGAUCGAGAAGGUGGGUCAGAGUCAUAUCCGAGGAGAUAGAGUAUGCAGGCAAUAAGGGUUCCAAACAGUGACAGAGAGUAGCGGAGAUGGUGGCAGAGAAGGUGACGGUGGAGGGGUGGGGAUGUACACGGAUGUUUCAUUAGAAUCUUUAUGAAUGUCAGUGGAGAUGAGAGAGGUGCGGUGGUGGGGUCGAAAUAAUUGUAAUAAUUGUAAAUAUUUUUUUAUUUAUGAAAUAAUUGUAUAUAUUGUCAAAUUUAUUUAAAUAAGGUAAUGAAAUAUUAAAUAUACACUACACGCAACCAAUUAAGAUAAUUUAUAAAUGAAAUAUCUAAAUAAGAAAUUAAAUUAAAUAUUAAUUUUUUAUUUAAUUAAGUGAUUAAAUAAAUAAUUAAACAAUGUAAUUAAAUAUUAAAUAAAUAAUAUACAUAACUAUGCCGGAGAGAACCCCCAACUUGACAAAUAAUGUCGCGAGUUUGGAUGACACCAUGUACGAAACAUAUUAUUGACAUGCCAAAGCAAAUGGUUAGUAAGAGGACUAGAUUACCGUCACAAUACAUUGUUUCUCCGUACACAAUCGAGGCAAAGAAGAGAACAUCUGUUGACGGUACAUUGCUCAACCUCUUCCGUGAAAUCGACUCAGGCGAUUGUGAAAUCUUCGCAUUGAAGUUAGGGCUGUAAAUGGAUCUGAUAUAUGGAUCGGAUCUACUCAAAUCCGAUCCUUGAAUGAUAAUUAUCUGAUCCAAUCCGAUCCGAUUCGAUCCAAUCAUUCGACGAAUUUUUGAAUGUUAAAUCCAUAUUCGAUUAAAUAUGUUAUUGAUUAUCCGAUUCGAAAUUGAAAGAAUCAGAAAAAUAAUGAUUUUAUUUAUUUAUCAUAUCAGAAUGACUUAUAUCCAUAUUUAAUUCAUUUAGUGAACGGAUUAUCGGAUUUGAAUCUCGAUUGGGUUAUCGAAUUAAAUUCCUAAAUCCAUUUCUCAUUAAUUUCAUCGGAUUUAGAUCGGAUUCGGAUCAAAAUCCAAUCUAUUGAUUCAUUUAGUUAACGAAUUAUUGAAUUCGAAUCUCGAUUGGGUUAUCGGAUUGAGACCUUAAAUACAUCUCUCAUUAAUUUCAUCGGAUUCAGAUCAAAAUUCUAUCCAUUGACCGCCCUAAUUGAAGUACAUUGAAUUUUUAGCAUCUAAUGUGGUGUAGAGCUGAUAAACUAAACACUUAUUAAAAUGGAAGUGUUCUUUUAUGUACAUUGUGAUCCGUAAUUGUAAUAAUUUCAAAUGCAACCAUUUUUUUAAAACGUUUGUAAUAUUUAAUUUUUAUGUAAUUGUAUAAUAAAUAACUAAUUGCUCUUAAUUACAUAUAUAACACAGUAUAAAUAAAGAAAUUUGAGGAAAUCAGUAACACACUAUAAAUAGAGAGUACAUAGGAUUUAAAUAGAUAUUACACAUCCAUUAGGUAGAGAAUAACAUACUAUAAUCGGGAACUUAUCACUCAACUUCAUUUGGUAGAAGAAAUAUAGUUUAAAAUUCUUAAAUAAUGCUCAAUGUAUUGAAAAUGUGACCAUGCCUAAAGUUCGACUCCCAUCUCUGCUAGAUAUUCUCAUACACUAUGUGAUUUAUGUUCUAAUUAAAUAUUAAAUAAAUAAUAUACAUAACCAAUUAAGAUAAUUAAUUAAUGAGAUAUUUAAAGAAUAAAUAAAAUUAAAUAUUAAUUUUCUAUUCGAAUAAGUGAUUAAAUAAAAUAAUGAAAUAUUAAACAAGCAUUAUACAUAACAAAUUAAGAUAAUUAAUUAAUGAAAUAUUUAAAGAAGAAAUUAAAUUAAAUAUUAAUUUUUUAUUUGAGUAAGUGUUUAAAAUAAAUAAUUAAAUAAAGUAAUUAAAUAUACAUAACUAAUUAAAAAAUUUUUAAAUAAGAAAUUAAAAUAAAUAUUAAUUUUUUAUUUAAAUAAGUGAUUAAAUAAAGUAAUUAAAUAUUAAAUGAACAAUAUACAUAACCAAUUAAGGUAAUUAAUAAAGAAAUAUUUAAACGAGAAACCAAAUUAAAUAUUAAUUUCUUUAUUUGAGUAAGUGUUUAAAAUAAAUAUUUAAAUAAGGACCAAUUAAGAUAAUUAAUUAAUGAAAUAUAUAAAAGAGAAACCAAUUUAAAUAUAAUUUUUUUAUUUGAGUAAGUGUUUAAAAUAUAUAUUUAAAUAAUUAAUUAAAUAUACAUAUAUCAAUUAAGAUAAUUAGAUAAUGAAAUAUUUAAAUGUGAAAUCAAAUUAAACAUUAAAUAUUUUUAUUUAAACAAGUGAUUAAAUAAAUAAUUAAAUAGAUUAAUUAAAUAUUAAAUAAAUAAUAUACAUAAUCGAUUAAGAUAAUUAAUUAAUGAAAUAUUUAAACAAUAAAUCAAAUAUUAAUUUUUUUAUUUGAGUAAGUGUUUGAAAUAAAUAAUUAAAUAUAAAGUGAAAAAUGUUUGGUUGUUUAAUUUGUAACUUAGGGAUAUUUUUGUCUUUUUAAACAAAAUUAUAUCUUUAUAAUUAUAUAAACUAUUUAAGGAUAUUUUUGUCUUUUAUUCAACAAAUGGUCAUUUUGAAGAUUGGCAAAUUUUUUUAGUCAAAGUUGAAAAAUGGCCUUUUGACUUGCCUAAUCUCAAAAGUACACCAUAACUCCUUGGUUUUUUCCAACGCUGAGUCCUAGAGAAGUUGGUGAGAUUCAUUUGGGCCAACUAUUGAAAUGGGUAGAUUUUGAGUUGGGCUUGGUAUUGUGAAAUGGGCUAUAAUUAAUAAAAGUUGGAUUAAGGGAAAAGUUCAUAAUUAAGGGGUAUUCUUUAUACCAAUUCAAGAACGGAAAAUUUUAUAAGUGAGAGAUUAAGUAUGACAUAUUUCAACAUUAAAAAAAUAUGUUUCAAAUUUCAAAAAUCAGAUUUUAUUUAAAAUAUAUUUAUGAUUUAAUUAAUUAAUUAAAUAUAUUUAGGUCACAUAUCUAUACACAAAUUAACAAUUUAAUUAGUCACUUAUUAUUUUUUGGUCACAAAUCAGAUAUUUUAUGUUACAAAUUAUUUUAUGAUCACAAUUUAAAAAUUUUCUAGGUCACGAUUUGUUCAUCGGUCACAAAUAAAAAAAUGAUUUAAUCAUAGAUUAAUUUUUAGUCACAACUUAUUUUUCGGUCACAAAUAAAAAAUUUUAUAAGUCACAUUAUUUUUCAGUCACAAAUAAAAAAAUUUAUAGAUCACAAAUAUUAUAGGUCACAACUUAUUAGACGGUCACAAAUUAUUAAUACUUUAGGUCACACAUUAUUUCUUGGUCACAAUUUAUCUUUUUCAUUGGUCAUAUAUUAUUUAUUGAUAACAGAUUAACCAAUUCACUGGUUACAAUCAACUGAAUAAUCUGUGACCAUCACCAACACUUAGGACCAUCACUUCAAUGCUGCCUCCAACAGCAGCACCACCACCGUUAUCGCCAAAACCACCACCACAUUGGUCACAACUUUCAACCAACCAAUAAAAUCGUCACAUACACGCACACCCCCAUCCCACCACUCCAAAGCACCGCACUACCUCCAACCACCAUCAGCGACGUUUCCCACCGCCACCACCAUCGACAUCACCACCACUAUAACACCAACAUCACCCACGCCCCAUCCCACCACUUCAAAGCACCAUAAUUCUGUCAACAACCACUAACGACGCCGCCCAUCAACACCACCAUCGAAAUCACCACCACUACAACACCAAAAGUAAAGCCACCACCAUCAUGAGCGUCACAUUUGUGACCAAUACACAGUGGCGCUGAAACUGCCUACUUCGGCAACACCCUCACUGCCGUCAUCUCUAGAUCCAGCACCACGAAACAACCCCCACCCUUAUCACCUCACAACAAUGUCACCACCAUGCUGCUGCCACCAUCACACAAUGCACACUUCGCCUCGUCCUGUACAGUUUACACACACCCCCACACCACACACACACCACCGCCCCGUCCUACAAGCUCGAAUCAAGGCAAAAAAUUUUGAUUUCAAAUUUAAGGCAUAAAAAAAUCUUCCUGAAUCACAAGUCUUUCCGAUUUUCAAUCCACCUUAAGCUCCCUCCAUUUCUUAUCGACAUCAGAUCUAAAACCAAAAUCCUCAAUUCCAUUGAAAUUGAAAAAAUGAUUAUCUCUUGCUGUUGGUUCUUAGUGCCGUUUCAGAACGACACCACCCUACUGCGGUGGUGGUGGUCUAGUGGUCACCGCGUCGAACACCAACACCACAAAGGAUCUUCGCUGUUAGGCUUCCCUCUUCGCCUCUCUGCGUGACGUUGCCUAUCGUCGUCAAAUGAGAUGGGUCGAAGCUAGUGUGUGGAGCGUUGGGACGCCAAAAUAGUGAGAGUGGGGUAGAUAGAGAGGGAGGGAGGGAGGGAGGGGAGAAUGAUAAUUGAAUUUUAGCGUUUGGGAUGAGUAUAUAUUUAAUUUUGUAAUACAAUUAUUAAUAUGUCAAAUUUAUUAAUUAAUUAAAAAAAUCUGAUUUAUGAAAUAGUAAACUUAUUCUAUGAUUUAUUAAAUGGGAUCUCUAAAUGUAUUAGAAUCUGUAAUUUUCACAUUCAAGAAUGAGAUAAAUUGUUUAAAAAUUCAAAAAUCAAGUAUAUAUUUAAUUAAUUAAAAAUAUUUAAUUAAAAAUAAUGAUGUCACAGAGACAUCAUUAUAGGUUCCAUUUUAUUUAUUGGUCACAAAUCGUUAAAUUAAUUAGUCAAAUAUUAUUUUGAGAUCACAAAUCAAAAGUUUUAUAGAUCACAAAUCGUCAUACUAAUUAGUCACAUAUUAUUUCGAGGUUACAAAUCAAAAGUUUUAUAUGUCACAAUUUAUUUCUUUGAUCACAGAUCUAAAAAUUUAUAGGUCAAAAAUUAUUUCGAGAUCACAUUAAGGUCAUAGAUUAUCAAAUUUUUAGGUCACAUGAUCACAAAUAAUUAAAUGGCUGGUCACAUACGUCAAAUAGUGGUCACAGACCACCACCACCAACACUAUCGCAUCGCCACUGCCAUUACAGUGGUCACAGAUUACCAAAUUUUUAGGUCACAUGGUCACAGAUAACUAAAUGGUUGGUCAUAUAUGGUCACAUACCACUACCACCAACACUAUUGCACCGCCAUUGCCAUCAUGGCCCCUUACAACCACCCUCACCCCAUCAUCGACGCCAACACCAACACCAAUACCAACAAAAAUUAGGACCGUCACCGGAAACCAUCAUAGCAACCAGAUUCAACAAAAAUCACCCUAGCUGUUAGAUUUACCAUGACUGCCACCAACAAAAAUCACAGCAAACCGUUAGAUCCACCACCAUUGCCACCACCAACAAAAAUAACAGACACCACCACAUCCAAACAAAACACUGCCAGCGCCUCAAAUUCUCCAAAAAAGAAAAAAAAAAUCUCCAAAUCCAUCGGUUGGCACCACCACCACUACCUCAAAUCACAACCCAUAAACUACAUACAACCACAAACUUUAUCUACUCUCAGCCACGAACAUCGAAAAAGCGAUUGUUGGGAGUGGAGGUAGUUCGCCACUCACUGUCAGAAGAUGGGAAAGCGAUGAUCUGUGCUGUGAACUUUCGACGGUAUUCGCUGCCAGCCUCUAUUGAAUAGGAAAAUGGGGAAAAUGUGCUAGAUCCUAGGAAAGCGACCAUCUGGUGCUUCGAAUGGAGGUGGUUCGUCACCGGCAUGAACUGGUUCAAGGGGAAAAAUGGGGUAAAUGAAGGGGUAAGUGAAUGGGGUUAAUGAAUGAAGAGGUGGUUCGUCGCCCUGCUAAUGGAGGUAGUGGUUCUGAUGCCACUUGAAGGAGUGAAGAGAGAGAGUGGGAUGAGUGGGACGGGGGUGAGAAGAGAGAAAGAGAGAGGGUGGGGUGAAUAAAGGGGUGAGCGAAUUAAUUAGGGUUUAGCAUACCUGAUUUGUGAAAAAUAAAACUUCUGCCCUGAUUUUUGAUUUGCAAUCUUUAAACACCUGUUAUUAGGUAAUUUUCUCUUGGGUUAAACCAUUUUUUAAGUGGAAAUUAUACAAAACCCAACUUUAAAAAACCCGUGUUCUAAAAUCAGGCGGAAAGUUUCAAUUUUCACAAAUCAAAAUUUUCAACCUAAGCCCUAAUACAUUUAUCCAAACCGUAAAUUAUUUAUCCCCCUCUCUCCUCCUCUCCUCAGUAUCCGUUCUUCUCUCCUUCUCCACCGUCAUCCGUUCAGGAACCAUCCUCGUUGGUGACGACAGUCGUGCAUCACUGAGUCUCCAUCCUCAUUUGGUCGCUAAUGUAGACGGCGAGGCGCUGCGAGCAGCGAUGCCUUGCUGCUCCUUGAUGACGACGUCACAACUACGCCUAGCGAGGUUGAGCUCUGCUGUUGCCUGAAUCUGCCUUUGCUGGUGGUGGCUGGCAGUAUCAGAUCUGUUGGUGGUGGUGAUUGAUCGUGCAUCUAACGGUGAGGUUGGAUGGUGGGUGUCGAAUCUGGGAUGGUGGCUGGUGGUGAUUUGUGAUAUUAUCCUAAUUAAUAAUUCAAAAGUCAAACUUUCAGAUUUGUGAUUUCGAUUUCUUGCUUUCUGCAAUUCAUUUUAUUUCUUUAUGACGAUGCGUUUGUGUUGGGUUGGGGUUAAGUUUGUGUUUUGUUAUUGGAUUGUGUUGAUUGUGGUUGUCGUGGGGAUAAUGGUUCACGUAGUGAUGGGUGGUGGUGUUAGCAGUGGUCAUAGGUGGUUUUGAGGUGGAUUUUGUGGUAGUUUUUUGAGGUGGUUUGGUAGUGGUGAUGGUGGUGGUCACGUGUGCGGUGUCAGGUGUUUUGGUGCUCUAAUGAUCUGGUUGCGAUCCAGUGAGUUGGUGGUAGUAGUGAUGGCAUUAAGGUUGUUGCGAAGUCCAAGUCUAGUUGUUUGAUGACAUUAUUUUGGUUGAUUUUUGCGUUUGAGUGUUGUGUGAUAGUCAUGGUUGGCAAUGUGGUGGUGUUUUUUGCAAUGUGUUGAUUUGUUUGAGGUGGUGGUUCUGGUGACGACGACGGUGGUGGCGGUUUGUGACCAACCAUUUGGUUAUUCGUGAACAACUAAUUAAUCGUGACCUAAAUAUUCGAUAAUUUGCGACUGAAAAUAAUUUGUGACCAAUUAAUUUGGAAAAUCUGUGACAUACAAAUAAGCUGUAACUUGAUUUGUGACUGAUGAAGUUAACCAUGACAAAUUAAUUUGAUAAAUUGCAAUGAAUAAAUGAGUUGUGACCAAUAAAAGUUGAUUUUGUGACCAACGAAUAAUCUGUAACAUAUAAAUUUUUUUAUUCGUGACCCAAAAAUAAUAUAUGACCUAUGAAAUUUUUGAUUUGUGACCGAAAAAAAGUUGUAAACAAUAAAUUGAUAAGUUGUGAUUAAAAAUUAAUCUGUGACUAAUUAAUUUUUUUGAUUUGUGACCAAUGAACAAAUUGUGACCUACAAAAUUUUUGAAUUGUAAUCGUAAAAUAAUGUGACACAAAAUUUUUAAUUUAUGACAAAAAUAAUAAGUAACUAAUUAAAUGGUUAAUUUGUGAUCAAAUUGUAUAGAUUUGUGACCUAAAUAUAUUUAAUUAAUAAAAUAAUAAUUAAUUAAUUAAAUCAUAAAUAAAAUUUAAUAAAAAUAUGAUUUUUGAAGUUUGAAACUUGUUUUCUUAAUUUCGAAAUGUGUGAUACUUAAAAUCUCACUUAUGAAAUUUCCUCUUUUUUUUUUUUUUUUUUUUUAAUUAAUUGUAAUGUGGUUAGCCAGGCCAUUGCAAUGUGGACCAAUAUUUCACAAUGGGUUGGAUCACUGCAAAAUUGGUUGUUGGUACUUGGGCUAAAGGAUAAAGCUUUAGAGCUUUCGAGCUGGACACAACAAAUUGGAAAUUGAAGAACUGGGCCGGAAUGUGGUCCGAUUAAAACUUUGAUUUAUUUGUAGUUUUGCGUCUAGGUUUUGGCCCAUAAAAUUUGUUCUAGUUAUUCUUAUUAUUUCUUUUAUUUAUAGCUUUAAUUAAAUUGUAGAUGAAUGUCAUUAAAUAACAUGUCAUUUAGAUCGCACAUACAUUGCUCUAGGUACUAUAUAGUCAUGUAUGUAGAGAUUUUUUUUUUCUUUUCUAAAUUAGAUAGAUAAGAAAGAGAAUAAAUAUUAUAAUUAAUGAUUAGGCUGUUUUAAUUAAACUGGUUAGAAAUUGUUAAUUGGAAAACCCAAGUAGUAUAAAAAUAUUAAGUGGGUGAGGAUAAAACUUUUUAAAAAACUCAAGUCCUCCCUUAUUUUCUGAUACAUGCUUUAAAAUUUGGAUUGCACCAUUAAUUUUUAUGUCCUACUGAGUAUUCCCAUGUACUUAUCUUUUUCCCUACUUCUUACAGAUUGAAGGGUCGUUGAUUGGUGUGCGAUGCGGUGAAGUUGUGAUGCUAAAAAUUAUGAAAUUUAAAAUAAUAAAUUUGGAGUAACAUGACUCUGGACUUUUAUUUCAUCAUUAUUUUAGUUUUUUAUUUUCCAUGUGAAAAUUCCUUUUUAGGAUUUGAUACAUGUUUCAAUUAAUUAUGGUUCCCAUAGGUUUUAUUUAUUUAUUGAUGAAACAUUUUUUUUU
This 12894-nucleotide long non-coding RNA is filed under the name Olea europaea (common olive). RNAcentral's name for it is "long non-coding RNA (OEUR_LNC013693)". The record is from RNAcentral. Lineage: Eukaryota; Viridiplantae; Streptophyta; Magnoliopsida; Lamiales; Oleaceae.